AUUGAACGCUGGCGGAAUGCUUUACACAUGCAAGUCGAACGGCAGCACGGACUUCGGUCUGGUGGCGAGUGGCGAACGGGUGAGUAAUGUAUCGGAACGUGCCCAGUCGCGGGGGAUAACGUAGUGAAAAUUACGCGAAUACCGCAUACGAUCUAUGGAUGAAAGCGGGGGAUGGCAAGACCACGCGCGAUUUGAGUGGCCGGAAUAAGAUUAGGUAGUUGGUGGGGUAAAUGCCCACCAAGCCAACGAUCUGUAGCUGGUCUGGGAGGACGACCAGCCACACUGGAACUGAGACACGGUCCAGACUCCGACGGGAGGCAGCAGUGGGGAAUUUUGGACAAUGGGCGAAAGCCUGAUCCAGCCAUUCCGCGUGCAGGAUGAAGGCCCUCGGGUUGUAAACUGCUUUUGUACAGAACGAAAAGGUUUCUACUAAUACUAGGAGCUCAUGACGGUACUGUAAAAAUAAGCACCGGCUAACUACGUGCCAGCCGCCGCCGUAA
This 500-nucleotide ribosomal RNA is filed under the name uncultured bacterium. Its description in RNAcentral is "partial 16S ribosomal RNA". It matches the Rfam family "Bacterial small subunit ribosomal RNA", at positions 30 to 523 of the family's 1533-position model. The record is from RNAcentral.